This 78-nucleotide transfer RNA is filed under the name termite gut metagenome. RNAcentral's name for it is "tRNA-Met". It matches the Rfam family "tRNA". Rfam says of the family: Transfer RNA (tRNA) molecules are approximately 80 nucleotides in length. Their secondary structure includes four short double-helical elements and three loops (D, anti-codon, and T loops). Further hydrogen bonds mediate the characteristic L-shaped molecular structure. tRNAs have two regions of fundamental functional importance: the anti-codon, which is responsible for specific mRNA codon recognition, and the 3' end, to which the tRNAs corresponding amino acid is attached (by aminoacyl-tRNA synthetases). tRNAs cope with the degeneracy of the genetic code in two manners: having more than one tRNA (with a specific anti-codon) for a particular amino acid; and 'wobble' base-pairing, i.e. permitting non-standard base-pairing at the 3rd anti-codon position. The record is from RNAcentral.
UCGCGGAGUGGAGCAGUUGGUAGCUCGUUGGGCUCAUAACCCAAAGGUCACUUGUUCGAGUCAAGUCUCCGCAACCCA